AACGAACGCUGGCGGCAUGCCUAACACAUGCAAGUCGAACGAGACCUUCGGGUCUAUUGGCGCACGGGUGCGUAACGCGUGGGAACCUGCCCUUAGGUUCGGACUAACUCCCCGAAAGGGGUGCUAAUACCGGAUAAUGUCUUCGGACCAAAGAUUUAUCGCCUUUGGAGGGGCCCGCGUUGGAUUAGCUAGUUGGUAGGGUAAAAGCCUACCAAGGCGAGGAUCCAUAGCUGGUCUGAGAGGAUGGUCAGCCACACCGGGACUGAGAAGCGGCCCAGACUCUUACGCGAGGCAGCAGUGGGGAAUAUUGGACAAUGGGCGAAAUCCUGAUCCAGCAAUGCCGCGUGAGUGAUGAAGGCCUUAGGGUUGUAAAGCUCUUUUACCCGGGAUGAUAAUGACAGUACCGGGAGAAUAAGCUCCGGCUAACUCCGUG
RNAcentral lists this ribosomal RNA (433 nucleotides) under uncultured bacterium. RNAcentral's name for it is "partial 16S ribosomal RNA". It matches the Rfam family "Bacterial small subunit ribosomal RNA", at positions 29 to 507 of the family's 1533-position model. The record is from RNAcentral.